Papaver somniferum (opium poppy) is the source of this 260-nucleotide long non-coding RNA. RefSeq lists it as uncharacterized. The record is from RefSeq and is a predicted model, not a curated record. Lineage: Eukaryota; Viridiplantae; Streptophyta; Magnoliopsida; Ranunculales; Papaveraceae. The transcript has 3 exons.
GCGCAUCGACCAGUUGACUGUGUCACUGUUUCCAAGUGAAUCUUGAAGAAUUGUGCCGAGUCUGAAAAUAUGAAUUGGAUAUUAGCCAACUCUAAGCCUUGUCCAAAAUGCAAACGACCCAUUGAGAAAAAUCAUGGGUGUAUGCAUAUUACCUGCACACCUCCUUGCAAAUUCGAGCUUUGCUGGCUCUGCCUUGGUGCUUGGUCAGAUCACGGAGAAAGGACAUGAGGUUUUUAUGCGUGCAAUCGCUACGAGACAGC